This 497-nucleotide long non-coding RNA is filed under the name Nicotiana benthamiana. RNAcentral's name for it is "long non-coding RNA (NBEN_LNC035528)". The record is from RNAcentral. Lineage: Eukaryota; Viridiplantae; Streptophyta; Magnoliopsida; Solanales; Solanaceae.
AACGUUUGGGCUGUGAUGAUAACUUGUUAUUUGGGCCACAUCUGUACCGAGCCCAAUUUUAUAUCUGAGCCCCAUUUUCAUUAUCUCCCUUGGGUCGUUUGACCCGACCCAAUGCCUCAUGUAUAUAUACUUGUACCUCAGAUAUUUUGGGUACCGGAUUUCAUUCUUUCAUUAUUUUUCUGUAUUAACAUUUCUCUCAUUUCCAGAGAGUUCCAAACGCUCUGUCUUCUCUCUUCUUUCUCUCUCUAUAUUUUCUAUGAUUUCUCGGUCAAAUAUCAAUGUUUACAUGGUAUCAGAGCCGAGACGACGAUCCGAUCAUGUUUCUCUAUAUCUCGUUGUCUUGGUUGAACUCUUUUCUGAGAUUUUUUGGGGAUUUUUCUGAGACCUUAUGUUCGAUGAUGCUUCUGACCUAAAUCAGAUGCUUUUCGGAGUUUUUCGUCAUGAUAUCUGAGUGUAUUUUCUUCACCCGAACAUUCUGAGAGUUUUUCUGCUGAUUU